GGGCCCGUAGCUUAGCUGGUUAUAGCGCCACUUUUGCAUAGUGGAGAUCACCGGUUCGAAUCCGGUCGGGUCCACCA
Molecule: transfer RNA, 77 nt
Filed under: candidate division WWE3 bacterium CG10_big_fil_rev_8_21_14_0_10_32_10
Lineage: Bacteria; candidate division WWE3
Description: tRNA-Ala
Rfam family: tRNA
About the family: Transfer RNA (tRNA) molecules are approximately 80 nucleotides in length. Their secondary structure includes four short double-helical elements and three loops (D, anti-codon, and T loops).
Source: RNAcentral